Molecule: non-coding RNA, 1280 nt
Organism: Callithrix jacchus (white-tufted-ear marmoset)
Lineage: Eukaryota; Metazoa; Chordata; Mammalia; Primates; Cebidae
Source: RefSeq, a predicted model, not a curated record
UUUCUCUUCCCCUUAUAGGCCUGGUUGGUACACAACGUUGGACAGACCUGCUGCCUUAACUCUUUAAUUCAGGUUUGUAAUGAACGUGGACUUCACCAGGAUAUUGAAGAGGUAAGCCUCUUCUUCAGGCUGAUAAGCAUGUGUAUUAUUUCAUUUUUAAUAUAUUCAGUUAUUCACAGUGACUUGAACUUUUUGAGAUGUUCUCUCAAAAGUUGGCAGAGAGAAGUCCUGUUUCUGCAUAUUCUGGAUUACACAUUAUUUCUGAAACUUCUUAGGUUGGUAUAGGGUGGGGCCCAGGUAUUGAUACUUUUUAAAAGCACUCCUUGGGUGACUUUAAAGUGCAGCCAGGAUUGAUGGCCACUGACUUGGUUAAAGAGACAGUUGGAACUAGACUGAUGUUGGGAAGGAGUCAGUGGACAGUACACACUUCCCUUCCCCCAACACUCACACAAUGUGCGCUCUCUCUCUCUCUUUCUCUCUCUCUCUCUCUCUCUCUCUCUCUCUUUCUUUCUGUCUUUAUCACUCCUUUCCUGGCCCUGUGCUCUCUCCUUUUUCUCAUCCAGGUAGUGCCUGUAAUUAAAUGAAUCAUUGCCAAACCACAAGGAAAGCCCUUCGUGUUGCCCUUUCUUCCUGGGGCUUAACCCAGCUUGUGCCUCUGCAGUUUGGAGAGCUUUAGGCUGGACGUUUGCUGCUUGCCUGAGAUGUGGAGCCAGGACCUCCUCAUGCACCUGCCCUCUGCUCUCACAUGACUGCUGGGCAGAGUGUAGAGGGGCUGAGGCAACAGUCAUGCUGAUGUCCCUCUCUAGAGGGUCUCCUGUACAGCAGAUUUACUCAUGUGGUGCUUCUCAACCUUGGCCACACAUUGAAAUAAUCUGGGGAAAUAAAACAUUCUGAUAACUGGGCCCCACCCUCCAGAAUUCUGGUGUAAUUUGUAUGGGCGUGGCCUGGAUAUGGAGAUUUAAAUUUUUUUCCAAGUGAUUACAGUGUACACUUAACUUCAAAAACUACACGUAAGGAAGUUUCCAUCCAUUCUUUUGUGGCAGGACCAUGGUUCCCAAGGGAGCUGACAAGCAGAGGAGAAGUGUCCCUUUCCAGCUGCUUCUUCUGCAGGUGAAGAUGGAGGACCACUGGCAGAAUGCAGUGCAGCCCCUGGAGCUGGCCUACUUCCUGCAGAAGUACAGCAUGCUGAUAAUAAGCGGUCAGAGAUUUCCUUAAAUGCCUGAAUCGUAUUUGUCCAGCAUGGUGCUGCCCAACUCUACCUCAAAAUCUGGAACCUAAUU